This is a long non-coding RNA of Callorhinus ursinus (northern fur seal), 1863 nucleotides long. RefSeq lists it as uncharacterized. Lineage: Eukaryota; Metazoa; Chordata; Mammalia; Carnivora; Otariidae. The record is from RefSeq and is a predicted model, not a curated record.
UUAAUUUGGGUUUUUGACCCAUCCUCCCUGGAUCUCCAAUACAUUUGGUCUCUCCACGGGGAUCCUCACGCUCCCUGGCUGCUUCCAAUUCUCCAUCACCUCAUUGUGAGGUGCCAACAUACUUUGCAGCCACAUGGCAAGUAUAGGAAAGAAAAGGGAGCGGGUCUCCCUUACAAAGGGUGUCUCCCCAGAGUCUUCCAUCAAAGGGUGCUGGUGGAGGGGCCUCCCUCUUGUAUCCACGAUGAACCUGCCGAGGCGAGGGCUCAUCUCCAAUUCUUCAAGGAAAGGCGACCCCUUCAAGAACUUAUGACAAUGUCUGCAGCCUGCAGUUGGACGAAGUGUCUUUCGUAUGUAUGCACGCUUCUUUGUGGGAAAAGUGGAUCCUCCCUAAAAGGACUGUUAAAAAACAAAAUUUAACUGAGGAAAUUUUGAAGCUCUUAUUGGCUUUAUUCAGGAUUCCAUGAAUCAGGCAGCAUCCAAUCUAGCAGACAGAAAGGAGCUCCGAGGAGCUGCACAAAAUGAAAGACUCAUAGGCAGAAGCGAGCUGGAACAAGGAAAUUAUGCUGGACACAAAAUCAGGGGCAGAAGAGAAACUUCUGGGGCAAGGUGUGAUAGGGCAAGUUCCUGAUCGGUGAGCACGCACCCCUCUUCAGUGCCUUUCCUAGCACUGCAUACCCUCUCCCUCCCAACACACCAGAAUUUCACAACAUCCCAUUUUAAUUCCACCCCUGAGACCAGCAUACAGCUCCCUAGGAUGUAUGAACCUGAGAAAUAACCCUUACUUUCUUGGGAGGAAUUUCUGAGACCGAAAGCCCAACAGCUUCUGACCAGUGGACGCUCUGGAACACCUGCCUUUUCUGCUGAAUGCGGCUCCUCCCGUCUUACCCAGCAGAGCCCCUUCUGCAGCCGUCCACCUGGAGCCUAAUGAAGAGCGUGUCUUGGUGCUUGGUGGAGGAGGGUGUGUUUUUCACAGCAGUCAAGAGUAGACCAGUUUAUUAUAAAAGUAAAAUAGAGAAGUCCUCUUAUCUGAUGCACUCAGGAGAGUAGUUGAUGAUGAAAUACACAUUUGCAAAGGAUGCAAAGAUCUAGAAUAUUUCACCUUACUGAAAAGAUAUAAUUUAUUGGCUACUCUUUUGAUUCGAGAACCAAGUUCUGUUCUUUGAGUGAGGUACCCUCCUGAGCAAAUCCAUGUUGAAGCUCAUAUCUAUGUUUCUCUACUUUUUCUUUCUAAAGAAACAUGAAAUCAUUUUAUGAACGUUGGAACUAAAUUUUCUCAUUUAAAAGUCUGUAAUGGCUAAAUUCCCAUUUCAUUAAAUAUUAUAUUUCCAUGUCACUUAAAUGCUUGCCUAUGAUACUGACACAUGGAAAGCUGGAGAUGGACUACCCAUUUUUUCUUUCAUUCUUUGCCUUUUUUUUCCCUUUUGCUAUAUAAAAAGCAUUGCUAUUAUUUAACACUCUUCUGAAAGUUCUAGCCAAUUUUAUAAGUAAGAUACAAUCACUGGAAAGAAGCCAAAUUUAUCAUUAAUCAUAGUUGUGAUGCAAUGGAAAAGCUGUUAGAACUAAUAAGGGUAACAGGAUUAUGGUACGCACAAGUUAAAAAUAAAAGAUACAUGUAUAUGUGUGCAUUUGUAUUUAUGUUUGUGUGUGUGCAUACAGUUUCCCUGUGUGUGCGAAAAUGACCACCUAAAACAUAAUGUAAAGAAUACCAUCUUAAAAAAAAUUGCAACUACCUACAGUAUAGCUGACAUCAGAUAUUAUUUGGUCAUAAGAAGGACAUCAAAUUUUGCUAAGGGACACAAAAAGGAGAUUUGAAUAAUGAUAUGAAGAAUGCUAUCAUUUUAUUUUAUUUUACUUUAUUUUGAG